CCAAGACAGGGGAUGCCAUGGGGA
RNAcentral lists this non-coding RNA (24 nucleotides) under Cricetulus griseus (Chinese hamster). The record is from RNAcentral. Lineage: Eukaryota; Metazoa; Chordata; Mammalia; Rodentia; Cricetidae.